UGGCUCAGUUGGUAGAGCAUGGCACUUGCAACGCCAGGGUCGUGGGUCUAAUUCCCAC
This 58-nucleotide transfer RNA is filed under the name Salmo salar (Atlantic salmon). It matches the Rfam family "tRNA", at positions 8 to 63 of the family's 71-position model. Rfam says of the family: Transfer RNA (tRNA) molecules are approximately 80 nucleotides in length. The record is from Rfam by way of RNAcentral. Lineage: Eukaryota; Metazoa; Chordata; Actinopteri; Salmoniformes; Salmonidae.